CGGGAAGCGAGCGUACACAGGUGCUGCAUGGCUGUCGUCAGCUCGUGUCGUGAGAUGUUGGGUUAAGUCCCGCAACGAGCGCAACCCUUGCCUUUAGUUGCCAGCAGUUCGGCUGGGCACUCUAAAGGGACUGCCGGUGUUAAACCGGAGGAAGGUGGGGAUGACGUCAAGUCCUCAUGGCCUUUAUGGCCAGGGCUACACACGUACUACAAUGGCCGAUACAAAGGGCAGCGACACUGCGAGGUGAAGCCAAUCCCGUAAAAUCGGUCUCAGUCCGGAUUGGAGUCUGCAACUCGACUCCAUGAAGUUGGAAUCGCUAGUAAUCGUGGAUCAGCAUGCCACGGUGAAUACGUUCCCGGGCCUU
Molecule: ribosomal RNA, 364 nt
Filed under: uncultured Desulfobulbus sp.
Lineage: Bacteria; Pseudomonadati; Thermodesulfobacteriota; Desulfobulbia; Desulfobulbales; Desulfobulbaceae
Description: bacterial SSU rRNA
Rfam family: Bacterial small subunit ribosomal RNA
Source: RNAcentral